ACACCGCUAGCGGCGAGAGCGUGAAAAUGACAGAAAGUCAUUCAUUUUCAAUGAGAGCCGGGCGGCGAGCUCCGGCGAGAGCGGCGCGGCGCGUCUUGGACGGUGAGAGCGCCGUCGAGGAGAGUUGAAAUCAAGUUAACUUUAUGGUAAUGAUCUAUGACGUGGUUCUCGAAUGUUGAUGCUCUCGCCGGCGGCGGUGUGAACGCACCCAGACGCAGCAAUGGUUGUCGUCCACUACGACACACUACACAAGCUGAACCGAUCGAAUCUUGUGUCCUGACGCCCAUUGUCGUUUAUGAAUCCCCACGACACCGUACAUCAAACGGAUUGUGGCAAAAUCGGGCUAAAAUCGUGUAACGUUAGUCUGAACCGGGCAUAAGUCAAACACCCUUUACAAAACAAGAAAAAAAAAAAAAAAAAAGAAAGGUAAAGCAACGAUGUUGGACGAUUUUGAAGAUGGAGGAGAAAAUGAGAUGGACUUUUUUGCCCUACCCUGCCCUGCUGCUGGGUCUGUACUUCCGCCUACAUCACGGAAAAUGGACGAUCAUUUCGCUAGACAAGACCCUUAUUCCUCGGCUGGGACCGUGAACCCUUUGAAGCUGCACUGAAAGUACAGUUUGGACCUUCAUCCCGUUGGUAACCAUUGAAGUCCACCAUAUGGAGAAAAGUCCUCGAAUGUUUUCCUCAAAAACCUUGAUUUCUUUUUGACUGAAGAAAAACAAGAACAUCUUGAAAGUCAUGAGGCUGUUAAACCAUGUAGUUCAGGCAAUAUGACGAGACUCCUCCAGUGAAGUGACAUGGAAGAGCAGAGAUGAGAUGAAUGGACAGACAUUAUGAAGCAUGAUAAUGAUAACACAGAAACCAGACGUGGCGAUGUUUUCAUAUAAAGAGACAGAUGGCCUGGCGUGUAACCGAUAAAUCAAUCAAGCUAGAACAAACAAACAUGAGCCUGUGUUCAAAAGGGCCAAGGACUCAAACACAGCUCCUCAAGGUUGAACAAAUUACAUUCAGUGAUGUGACUCUGUAAGAUGACAUACAGCGGCCCAAAUUUGUAUUUGAUCAAUGAAUGCCAUUGCAGUACAUUUCAAAAUAUCACUUAUUAAAAUAACAAAAAUGUUAUAUCAAUGAUAUUCAAACGUGUCUCAAAUGCCACAUACUGUACUCUUUGGGUCCACUGUAUUAACAUAUAUAUAACAUAUAUAACAAAUGUAUGUAUGUAUAUAUAUCACAUAUAACAAAUGUAGGACAGAACAAGUCUUAGACAUUAGAAGGAGAGGACAGAAAGGUAAAAGAUGUAUUUCAUACAUCAAUAACACAUGAAGAACAAUAAUAAACAAGCACCACAAUCAAAAAUAAUCAGCCAUUCACACUGCAUAAAAUCUGAUAUAAAAUAAGACAAGCAUAACAUGAAAACAAAACAAACGGACACACUAAAUGACAAACUUCAACGCAGUCGCGGGACCUAAAAACAUUUGGAUAAGAUGAGAUGGCAAUGUUUUGAAAUGAUUUAGCCCGUGAAAUGUUUAUGAGACAACUUGAAUCUCAUAAAGAGGUCAUUAUCUGCUUUGUUCUGGCCACAAAUCGUUGAAUUGUAAUAAAAGAAUUCACAAUUUUUGAGUAAUGCGGCAGAUUUCACCCGCAGGCCGCAUUAAUGUGGCGGCUCUUCAGCCAUUAUCCAAUCACUGCUGAGGAGCUAAUGAACACUCUGGUGGAAUUCUAUAAUCUCUCAGUGGUGGCACUUUAUAUUCAAACUAGGAGCAUAAACUGUCAUCUUCCUUUAUCAUUACUUCUCCUUCGUUUUCUGGCGCAGCAGGAAUUUCACUUCUGCUUUGACAGUUCCUAUCCUCUUUAUAUCCCAUAGUUCAUGAUAACAUCUAGCAGAUAAUUGUUUUACUCAGAUUCAAAUGACAAACUCCUCGUCUGAGCGAUGCUGCGGCAGAGGAAGGGGCUCGUAAUCUUCAGUAAUUCACUAGGUUUGUAAGCCGAUGUCAUUGUAUGCGAACAGAUGCUGCAGAUAUUGGUUUUGAUGUCUCGGUGAUAGUAAUGCGAAGGGAUGUUCAGUGUAAGGUAUCUCCUGUUGGUGGUGCUCUUUGUGAAUAGGAGAUGAGAUGAGCUCUGCGGUAUUUGUGUGGUGUGCCUUUGGUGCAGUGCUGUGAGAUGGUGAGAGUGUCUCCCUGGCCCUUUCUGCUUAAGAUGACAAAGUGAACAGAGAGCAGAGUUGCCUCUAUACAUCUACCCCUGCUUUUCCGUCCCUGGAGUUCAAAAGGCUUUAGGAAGACAAGGGCUGCAUCCCAAUUCACCUAGCUACUAUCCGUACUGUACAGUUCUCAGUCCCCCCAAAAAGAGGAAUUCUGAACAACAUCUUUGUUUCUUUGAAGGGCACAACUAUUCAAACAAAAGAGAGCAACUGAAUCCCUUCAUGAAUUUCCCUGCAACAAGGCUGUUGGGCUGUGUGUCCAUCAAAGCGGUUUUCAGCCAGCUGAAAACACCAGAGCUCUUCUGAAAACGCCUAGCUGCGGGCGCUUGAGUGUGCUUCUGCGGUGCAGCGUUUCAGUUAAAACACUUGGUUGCUGCUGAAUUAGCAGAUCUGAAUAUAAAAAGUGGAUAUAAUGUGCAAUAUUUGUCUGGUUAGGAUUUUGUUCCAUUGUUGUGCUUGUUGUUGUCAAGCAGAAUGUGGCCGUUGGUCAGUGUGGUAUUUGUCCCGCCCCUCCUCCACUGUGAUUGGAUGGCUGGGUAAAAAGUUACAGUGAUGAGCGCUGCGUUUUAAUCAAAGUUGAAUUUUUUUCAAAUCUCAGCAUACGGAAAAUAAAUAUAAAUAUUCGCUUAGCACCCAUCACACUCUUGCCAUUUUAAAAUAUGCUACACUCCUAUUGAAAACAAUAAAAAAAAAAAAAAUUAAAAAAAAAA
Megalobrama amblycephala (Wuchang bream) is the source of this 2907-nucleotide long non-coding RNA. RefSeq lists it as uncharacterized. The record is from RefSeq and is a predicted model, not a curated record. NCBI's taxonomy places the organism in Eukaryota, Metazoa, Chordata, Actinopteri, Cypriniformes, Xenocyprididae. The transcript has 3 exons.